GAACCUUACCAGCCCUUGACAUGUCCGGGACCGGUCGCAGAGACGUGACCUUCUCUUCGGAGCCCGGAACACAGGUGCUGCAUGGCUGUCGUCAGCUCGUGUCGUGAGAUGUUGGGUUAAGUCCCGCAACGAGCGCAACCCCCGUCCUUAGUUGCUACCAUUUAGUUGAGCACUCUAAGGAGACUGCCGGUGAUAAGCCGCGAGGAAGGUGGGGAUGACGUCAAGUCCUCAUGGCCCUUACGGACUGGGCUACACACGUGCUACAAUGGCGGUGACAAUGGGAUGCUAAGGGGCGACCCUUCGCAAAUCUCAAAAAGCCGUCUCAGUUCGGAUUGGGCUCUGCAACUCGAGCCCAUGAAGUUGGAAUCGCUAGUAAUCGUGGAUCAGCACGCCACGGUGAAUACGUUCCCGGGCCUUGUCACACCGA
RNAcentral lists this ribosomal RNA (427 nucleotides) under uncultured soil bacterium. Its description in RNAcentral is "bacterial SSU rRNA". It matches the Rfam family "Bacterial small subunit ribosomal RNA", at positions 966 to 1393 of the family's 1533-position model. The record is from RNAcentral.